Numida meleagris (helmeted guineafowl) is the source of this 1252-nucleotide long non-coding RNA. RefSeq lists it as uncharacterized. Lineage: Eukaryota; Metazoa; Chordata; Aves; Galliformes; Numididae. The transcript has 2 exons. The record is from RefSeq and is a predicted model, not a curated record.
AAAGCACAUGAAAAAAACGCCUUAGGUACAAUGAACUACAGUACUGCAAUUAUUUCUCCUGCAGCUUUAACAGAUCAGUCACUAGAGUCUAUUCAUUUGCCAGACAAGUGGACAUUCAACUUUCCUUGAAUGCAUUCUGCCAGAUGUACUUCUGCAUCUCUCCACUAUGCAAACAUGUGGUUAGAUACACCAGCAGAACAUCUUGCCUGCUACUAGAAACUCUUUGUGAUAAAUAAAUAGCUCAUUUGUUCUUUCCAAAUAAAAAGCAUGACAGAGAAAACAAAAAUAAGCUAAGAAUGGCUAAGAGAAGCAUGUCUAAGCAAAGGAAAAGGAAUAGCAUCGUUUUUAAGUUGGUAGUGAAAUCACAGAGUAAAGAGCCAGAAUAACGCUAGUGGCUCAGUGUAGCUGAAAAGCGGGGCAAGUUCUGUCGUCACAGAUCAGAGUACAAUGCUGGAACCUGCAGCACUGAAAAUGAAACGGUAUGGGGAAGCACGGAGCACGCUGAAGGACGGAGGCGGGGGGGUCUGAAAGGGGACAAGCACAGCGAGGUCGCGAAGGAGGGGCACACAACGAGGCCGAUAAGAGACCAGGGACCACAAGCCCUAAAGCCUGCCGCAGGAUGCGUGAAUGGCGAUACGGAGGAAGGCGGGGGAGGAAACUGGAGGAAGGAGAAAGGGUUUACCCCAGAGCGUGCUACACUCCAAGUCUCGUGCUGAUGGUGGUUGUGUGCUGCUCAGGAAAAGAGAGAAGGCUCGGCUGCUCUAAAGUGCUCUUGAGAGAAGCCAAAACAGCACAAGUUUCGAGGAAGAGAGUGAGGAGAAGGUGACAAGGGAAGGAAGGCUUCUGCCAGCCUUGCACCCGUGCCAUGGCUGUCCAACCUCUUGGUUUGCCUGGGCCUCGCUGAGUGAAGAGGGAUUGUCUUGGGCCACAUAUAAAAUAUAUUUUACAUAUAUAUUAUUUAUAUAAAUAAAUAUAGUUCACGUAUAGAAGUAACAAAACUUUUUUUUUUCCCUAAUUAAAACAUAAAAAAGAGGGCAACAAAAACAGGUUUGGAAUAUUUGAUCUUGUUUCUGCGAAACUGAUGUACCAGUCUGGUUCAAUGGCAGUAGUUGCCAUUCUCAGUGAGCUCUCAAGGUAUUCGUCAUGAAAUUUUACUCUCCCUGUGCUUCAUCCUUGAUGAAGUUGUUCACAAAUAUACUUUCUACCAAAAAGUGAUUAUAUGAAUAAAGAGUGAUGGUGAAGCAAGGGAUAU